GCGAUCUUUAAGGGGGCCUGAGAGGGUGAUCCCCCACACUGGUACUGAGACACGGACCAGACUCCUACGGGAGGCAGCAGUGAGGAAUAUUGGACAAUGGGUGAGAGCCUGAUCCAGCCAUCCCGCGUGAAGGACGACGGCCCUAUGGGUUGUAAACUUCUUUUGUAUAGGGAUAAACCUACUCUCGUGAGAGUAGCUGAAGGUACUAUACGAAUAAGCACCGGCUAACUCCGUGCCAGCAGCCGCGGUAAUACGGAGGGUGCAAGCGUUAUCCGGAUUUAUUGGGUUUAAAGGGUCCGUAGGCGGAUCUGUAAGUCAGUGGUGAAAUCUCACAGCUUAACUGUGAAACUGCCAUUGAUACUGCAGGUCUUGAGUGUUGUUGAAGUAGCUGGAAUAAGUAGUGUAGCGGUGAAAUGCAUAGAUAUUACUUAGAACACCAAUUGCGAAGGCAGGUUACUAAGCAACAACUGACGCUGAUGGACGAAAGCGUGGGGAGCGAACAGGAUUAGAUACCCUGGUAGUCCACGCCGUAAACGAUGCUAACUCGUUUUUGGGCUUUCGGGUUCAGAGACUAAGCGAAAGUGAUAAGUUAGGCCACCUGGGGAGUACGAACGCAAGUUUGAAACUCAAAGGAAUUGACGGGGGCCCGCACAAGCGGUGGAUUAUGUGGUUUAAUUCGAUGAUACGCGAGGAACCUUACCAAGGCUUAAAUGGGAAAUGACAGGUUUAGAAAUAAGACUUUUCUUCGGACAUUUUUCAAGGUGCUGCAUGGUUGUCGUCAGCUCGUGCCGUGAGGUGUUAGGUUAAGUCCUGCAACGAGCGGCAACCCCUGUCACUAGUUGCCAUCAUUAAGUUGGGGACUCUAGUGAGACUGCCUACGCAAGUAGAGAGGAAGGUGGGGAUGACGUCAAAUCAUCACGGCCCUUACGCCUUGGGCCACACACGUAAUACAAUGGCCGGUACAGAGGGCAGCUACACACGCGAUGUGAUGCAAAUCUCGAAAGCCGGUCUCAGUUCGGAUUGGAGUCUGCAACUCGACUCUAUGAAGCUGGAAUCGCUAGUAAUCGCGCAUCAGCCAUGGCGCGGUGAAUACGUUCCCGGGCCUUGUACACACCGCCCGUCAAGCCAUGGAAGUCUGGGGUACCUGAAGUCGGUACCGUAC
This 1162-nucleotide ribosomal RNA is filed under the name Chryseobacterium indologenes. RNAcentral describes it as "bacterial SSU rRNA". It matches the Rfam family "Bacterial small subunit ribosomal RNA", at positions 276 to 1438 of the family's 1533-position model. Lineage: Bacteria; Pseudomonadati; Bacteroidota; Flavobacteriia; Flavobacteriales; Weeksellaceae. RNAcentral also lists the same sequence under 1 other name. The record is from RNAcentral.